Molecule: ribosomal RNA, 498 nt
Filed under: uncultured bacterium
Lineage: Bacteria
Description: bacterial SSU rRNA
Rfam family: Bacterial small subunit ribosomal RNA
Source: RNAcentral
UAGUCCACGCUGUAAACGAUGAGUGCUAGAUGUUGGGAUUUAUUCUCAGUGUCGCAGCUAACGCAUUAAGCACUCCGCCUGGGGAGUACGGUCGCAAGAUUAAAACUCAAAGGAAUUGACGGGGGACCCGCACAAGCGGUGGAGCAUGCGGUUUAAUUCGAUGCUACGCGAAAAACCUUACCAACCCUUGCAUCCCGAUCGCGAGAACCAGAGAUGGAUCUCUUCAGUUAGGCUGGAUCGGUGACAGGUGUUGCAUGGCUGUCGUCAGCUCGUGUCGUGAGAUGUUGGGUUAAGUCCCGCAACGAGCGCAACCCUCACUCUUAUUUGCCAACAGGUUAUGCUGGGAACUAUAAGAGAACUGCCGGCGUAAGUCGGAGGAAGGUGAGGACGACGUCAAGUCAUCAUGGCCCUUACGGGUUGGGCUACACGCGUGCUACAAUGGCAAUUACAAUGAGACGCAAUACCGACGAGGUGGAGCUAAUCUUAUAAAAAUUGUCU